CCAUUGGAAACGAUGGCUAAUACCCCAGAUGUUAUUGAGUUUAGAAAUCAAUAACUAAAGCUCCGGCGCUCUGGGAGGGGCCUGCGUCCCAUCAGCUAGUUGGUAAGGUAAUGGCUUACCAAGGCAAAGACGGGUAGGGGGCGUGAGAGCGUGACCCCCCACACUGGUACUGAAACACGGACCAGAUACCUACGGGUAGCAGCAGCAAGGAAUAUUGCCCAAUGGACGAAAGUCUGAGGCAGCAACACCGCGUGGAGGACGAAGGCCUUCGGGUUGUAAACUCCUUUUCUGGGGGAAGAGAAAGGACGGUACCCCAGGAAUAAGGCCCGGCUAACUACGUGCCAGCAGCCGCGGUAAAACGUAGGGGUCAAGCGUUAUCCGGAUUUACUGGGCGUAAAGCGCAUGUAGGCGGUUGCUUAAGUCGGACGUGAAAGCUCCUGGCUCAACUAGGAGAUGCCGUUCGAAACUAAGUAACUCGAGGAUGGUAGAGGAGAGUGGAAUUCCCGGUGUAGUGGUGAAAUGCGUAGAUAUCGGGAGGAACACCAGUGGCGAAGGCGGCUCUCUGGGCCAUUCCUGACGCUGAGAUGCGAAAGCUAGGGGAGAGAACGGGAUUAGAAACCCCGGUAUUCCUAGCCGUAAACGAUGUCAACUAGGUGUAGGAGGUAUUGACCCCUUCUGUGCUGCAGCAAACGCGUUAAGUUGACCGCCUGGGGACUACGGCCGCAAGGCUAAAACUCAAAGGAAUUGACGGGGACCCGCACAAGCAGCGGAGCGUGUGGUUUAAUUCGAGGCUACGCGAA
Molecule: ribosomal RNA, 800 nt
Filed under: uncultured bacterium
Lineage: Bacteria
Description: bacterial SSU rRNA
Rfam family: Bacterial small subunit ribosomal RNA
Source: RNAcentral